AUUGAACGCUGGCGGCAGGCCUAACACAUGCAAGUCGAACGAAUGGCGGACGGGUGAGUAAUGUCUGAGAAACUGCCUGAUGGAGGGAGAUAACUACUGGAAACGGUAGCUAAUACCGCUUACAGUCAGAUGUGCCCAGAUGGGAUUAGCUUGUUGGUGGGGUAACGGCUUACCAAGGCGACGAGCCCUAGCUUGGCUGAGAGGAUGACCAGCCACACUGGAACUGAGACACGGUCCAGACUCCUACGGGAGGCAGCAGUGGGGAAUCUUGCACAAUGGGCGCAAGCCUGAUGCAGCCAUGGCGCGUGUAUGAAGAAGGCUUUCGGGUUGUAAAGUACUGUCAGCGGGGAGGCGGGACCCGCAGAAGAAGCACCGGCUAACUACGUGCCAGCAGCCGCGGUAAUAC
RNAcentral lists this ribosomal RNA (406 nucleotides) under uncultured bacterium. Its description in RNAcentral is "partial 16S ribosomal RNA". It matches the Rfam family "Bacterial small subunit ribosomal RNA", at positions 30 to 526 of the family's 1533-position model. The record is from RNAcentral.